RNAcentral lists this ribosomal RNA (371 nucleotides) under uncultured Glomeromycotina. RNAcentral's name for it is "eukaryotic LSU rRNA". Lineage: Eukaryota; Fungi; Glomeromycota. The record is from RNAcentral.
UUGAAAGGGAAACGAUUGAAGUCAGUCGUACCGACGAGAAAUCAGCUUAUCGUGUGUUAACUUGUGGGCGUGCGUGAGUUUCGGCCUCGCUGUUUGCAUGUUUGUGCGCUUUGGGUGUACUUUUUCGUAUGGUUGGCCAACAUCAGUUUCGAUUACUAUAAAAUGACUGGCGGAAUGUAGCUUCGAUUUCGGUUGAAGUGUUAUAGCCUCUGGUAGAUGUGGUGAUUGAGACUGAGGAUUGCAACGAAUAUCCUUUGGGCUAUCCGUCUGGCCUCUGAAAGUUGCUUGGGUGCUGAAAGCUUGCUUAUGGUUAUCUAAGUUAACGGUCAAUAGGUUAGAACGCGAUUACAUUCGUUAAGGAUGUUGACGUA